AAGUCGUAACAAGGUCUCCGUAGGUGAACCUGCGGAGGGAUCAUUACACAACAAAAUAUGAAGGCCUGGCUUCGCGGCCGGCUGAAAUAUUUUUUUUCACCCGUGUCUUUUGCGCACUUGUUGUUUCCUGGGCGGGCUCGCCCGCCACCAGGACCAAACCAUAAACCUUUUUCUUUUGCAGUUUUCAUCAGCGUCAGUAAAAAACAAUGUAAUUAUUACAACUUUCAACAACGGAUCUCUUGGUUCUG
This 248-nucleotide unclassified non-coding RNA is filed under the name air metagenome. RNAcentral's name for it is "partial contains small subunit ribosomal RNA, internal transcribed spacer 1, and 5.8S ribosomal RNA". The stretch from base 1 to 46 matches the Rfam family "Eukaryotic small subunit ribosomal RNA", at positions 1786 to 1831 of the family's 1831-position model. The record is from RNAcentral.